RNAcentral lists this unclassified non-coding RNA (240 nucleotides) under soil metagenome. RNAcentral's name for it is "partial contains 5.8S ribosomal RNA, internal transcribed spacer 2, and large subunit ribosomal RNA". The record is from RNAcentral.
AACCAUAGAAACCUGCGGAGUACCUGCGGAGGGAUCAUUACAGAGUUGCAAAACUCCCUAAACCAUUGUGAACGUUACCUAAACCGUUGCUUCGGCGGGCGGCCCGGGUCCUUCCCGGCGCCCCUCGGCCCUCGCGGGCGCCCGCCGGAGGUAAACCAAACUAUUGCAUUGUAUGGCCUCUCUGAGUCUUCUGUACUGAAUAAGUCAAAACUUUUAGCAAUGGAUCUCAGAUCGGAAGAG